AACGAACGCUGGCGGCGUGCUUAACACAUGCAAGUCGAGUGCGCGUACCGUAGCAAUACGGUAUGGCGCACGGCGCACGGGUGCGUAACACGUGGGUAACCUGCCCUUUGAUGGGGAAUAACCCCGGGAAACCGGGGCUAAUUCCGCAUAAGAUCCGCAAGGAUGAAAGCCGUAAGGCGUCGAAGGAGGGGCCCGCGCACGAUUAGCUAGUUGGUAGGGUAACGGCCUACCAAGGCUUUGAUCGUUAGCUGGUCUGAGAGGAUGGCCAGC
Molecule: ribosomal RNA, 270 nt
Filed under: uncultured bacterium
Lineage: Bacteria
Description: partial 16S ribosomal RNA
Rfam family: Bacterial small subunit ribosomal RNA
Source: RNAcentral